GACGAACGCUGGCGGCGUGCCUAAUACAUGCAAGUCGAACGCUUCUUUUUCCACCGGAGCUUGCUCCACCGGAAAAAGAGGAGUGGCGAACGGGUGAGUAACACGUGGGUAACCUGCCCAUCAGAAGGGGAUAACACUUGGAAACAGGUGCUAAUACCGUAUAACAAUCGAAACCGCAUGGUUUUGAUUUGAAAGGCGCUUUCGGGUGUCGCUGAUGGAUGGACCCGCGGUGCAUUAGCUAGUUGGUGAGGUAAUGGCCUACCAAGGCUACGACGGGUAGCUGGUCUGAGAGGAUGAUCAGCCACACUGGGACUGAGACACGGCCCAGACUCCUACGGGAGGCAGCAGUAGGGAAUCUUCGGCAAUGGACGAAAGUCUGACCGAGCAACGCCGCGUGAGUGAAGAAGGUUUUCGGAUCGUAAAACUCUGUUGUUAGAGAAGAACAAGGAUGAGAGUAACUGUUCAUCCCUUGACGGUAUCUAACCAGAAAGCCACGGCUAACUACGUGCCAGCAGCCGCAGUAAAAC
This 527-nucleotide ribosomal RNA is filed under the name uncultured bacterium. RNAcentral's name for it is "bacterial SSU rRNA". It matches the Rfam family "Bacterial small subunit ribosomal RNA", at positions 28 to 526 of the family's 1533-position model. The record is from RNAcentral.